GUUGAAACGCCUUAAGGUUUAAAUAUCUGAAAAUACUGAUAAAACAUAACAUCUGAAAGUACGGUAUAUCAAUACCAAAAUUGAAACAUCUGUAAAACUGUAAACUGCUGAAUAUCUAGUCUGAAAACCUCUAACUAUAUGACUGAGGAGUUCAUGGGACAAGACCCCAACUAACUCCGUCUACUGAAAAUAAUAAGAAUAACCACGUCCUCAAACUAUGAGGACUCACCAUAAAGUCUGCUGCUGAUAGAGUGGGUUGCUAAGUACGAUCUGGAGCCCGUGCGUCUGAACCUAUGGUAUAAAACACCAUAGCGCAAGAGAAAAGUAUGCGUCAGUACGUGGGAAUGUACUGGUAUGCAAAGUAAGGUAGGCUGAAUGCAUGGGUUCAUAUACAUGAACAAUACUAACUGAAUAACAUGAGUAUAACUGAAUAAGAGUGCAUGCAUAAAUAUGUAAACUGUAACUGAGGUCGUGAUAACACUGAAUACUAAGUUCUGAAUACUGAUUUAUUGACAUGUGAGAUUACUAAUACUAGGAUACUGAAUAACUGAGUCUACUAAUGCUGAUAUUUGAAAAUUAAUUUGAAAUUUGAACUAAGUUAUUGAAGUUCAUAACAUGACAAUGAAGAAGAAAUUUGGGGGAAAUAACUCUUUUCAAAAAUCUGAAUAAAUUGAGAUAAAAAUGGAAAGAAACCACACCUUGAUAAGCAGCAUUGAUGGAGGAGGUAACCACCCCUUUAA
Molecule: long non-coding RNA, 740 nt
Filed under: Capsicum annuum
Lineage: Eukaryota; Viridiplantae; Streptophyta; Magnoliopsida; Solanales; Solanaceae
Description: long non-coding RNA (CANN_LNC007319)
Source: RNAcentral